Long non-coding RNA from Conger conger (European conger), 861 nucleotides. RefSeq lists it as uncharacterized. Lineage: Eukaryota; Metazoa; Chordata; Actinopteri; Anguilliformes; Congridae. The record is from RefSeq and is a predicted model, not a curated record. The transcript has 2 exons.
UCGUCGGUCACCAACACAAAAGUAACGUGUGCCCAUUUUAUUCUGAUUACUGCUUUAGGAUUUUCUUGUAUUUGGCUCGGAUGCCGCUGAACUACUCGGGUGGGUCUUCGUCAUACCUUUUCGUCUAUGUAUUCGGAUGCUCACCGGAGUGCUUUUUUGUGUUAUCAGCCUAUUGUUCUAGAUAGCCUAACCACUGACUCGUUCAGCCCGAGCGCUACACUUCUCAUCUGGCCAUGUCCCCGUUCCUUCCCCCUUUAACCCACAAAAAUGGCUGUCAAUAGAAACAUGUGCUUUCCUUUAAUUAAACCUCCUUCUUCUGGAUUCUAAGUUUGCUAUGAUACCAGCGCGGCAGCGUGGGCGAUACCACCCUAUUGUCCCACUCCCGGCUCUCCCGGGCGUAGGGGCGUCCAGACAGGAGACGUCUCCCGGUGCGGGCGGGGCCGGCUAUUGAAAUAUGCGCGCGCCGAAGAUUAAUAGGACGUGUCCGCAUCGGGAAAAGCUCCGCUUCCCUGUGAAUUUGUCCUCUGACACCAGACGAAUGCUGUAGCUAAUGCUCAGUCAGGCCUAUCAGGAACUUCAGACGGCUCGCCAAACAAAACGUAAUUUUCGAACGAUAAAAAUGUACUUUUUUGCACAGAGGAAUAAAUGCUGAUUAUGGAAGAAGUGUAUCACUUUAUGACAUAAAUGACUGUGCUGCUGAUAUAUUUGAUUAAAAUGAUUUCUCUGAAGUGAUGAUUCGACCAGGUUUUUGCAGUGAAAGAAAACAUAUUUUCUAUGACUAUGAGGAUUUAUAAACAAUGUUUUUGUUUCUUUAAACAAAAUGAACAAUUUUUUUUAGCAUUUAAUAAACGCAGUUAUGCA